UACGGGGGGAGCAAGCGUUGUUCGGAUUUACUGGGCGUAAAGGGCGCGUAGGCGGCCACCGCAAGUCGACUGUGAAAUCUCCGGGCUUAACCCGGAAAGGUCAGCCGAUACUGUCGUGCUAGAGUGCGGAAGGGGCAACUGGAAUUCCGCGUGUAGCAGUGAAAUGCGUAGAUAUGCGGAGGAACACCGAUGGCGAAGGCAAUCCCCUGGACCUGUACUGACGCUCAUGCACGAAAGCGUGGGGAGCAAACAGG
RNAcentral lists this ribosomal RNA (254 nucleotides) under uncultured bacterium. RNAcentral describes it as "partial 16S ribosomal RNA". It matches the Rfam family "Bacterial small subunit ribosomal RNA", at positions 524 to 776 of the family's 1533-position model. The record is from RNAcentral.